RNAcentral lists this ribosomal RNA (254 nucleotides) under uncultured bacterium. Its description in RNAcentral is "partial 16S ribosomal RNA". It matches the Rfam family "Bacterial small subunit ribosomal RNA", at positions 524 to 776 of the family's 1533-position model. The record is from RNAcentral.
GACGUAGGGCGCGAGCGUUGUCCGGAUUUAUUGGGCGUAAAGAGCUCGUAGGCGGUGUGUCGCGUCGGCCGUGAAAACCUGCAGCUUAACUGUGGGCUUGCGGUCGAUACGGGCAUCACUGGAGUUCGGCAGGGGAGACUGGAAUUCCUGGUGUAGCGGUGAAAUGCGCAGAUAUCAGGAGGAACACCGGUGGCGAAGGCGGGUCUCUGGGCCGCAACUGACGCUGAGGAGCGAAAGCAUGGGGAGCGAACAGG